RNAcentral lists this non-coding RNA (24 nucleotides) under Cricetulus griseus (Chinese hamster). The record is from RNAcentral. Lineage: Eukaryota; Metazoa; Chordata; Mammalia; Rodentia; Cricetidae.
GGGAAAUGAGUUUGAACUGAAAAA